UUUCUCUCUUCCAUCCGCGCCGCCGCCAGGUGAGUCUAGCCUCCAGAUCCAUCGCCCCCAAGCCUUCCCGAGCAAGUCAGGGAGCAAUUCUCGUCGCCGGCGUGCCCUCCGGUGAGCCCAGGCGAGUCCAUAGAGUCCAAGGGCUUCGCCUUCCUCGUCUACGUCGACUACCUCCCUCGAAUCAAGCCGGAGCCAUCGUCAAGCGUCAUCCCCUUCGUCUUCUUCCCCCAGGGCAGCUGCUCGUCGCCGUUUGAAUUUGUCGCAUCUCCUCGUCCCCGAGCUCGAUCGACUCCCCUGAGCCCCUCUACGUGUGCAGCCAUGCUUCCCUGUACCUUUUCCCAGUCAAUUGCAUCAUCUGUCGCCGAUUUCUCGCAUGCCCGAUAGUUCCUCCACCACGACCACGUUGCCGGCCUCGUUCCGAUGACCUCUGGUUCGACCUUUUUCCAUAUUUGCACUCGCACCCUCGCGUUCACCUUCUAUGCCCUGUUAGUUACCUCUUUGGCGCACUGCAUGCUUGAAUUCAUCCACACCCAACGCACGUCUCCGCGGCCGCUCGUCGCCGGCGUCAUUUCCAUCAACGUCCGGAGAUGCAUGGCACGCGCGGAGGUGCGGAUUCACACGCUUAGCACAACCCGCACCCCCUUACAUCUUGAGAACGUCGGGAGGCAAUUCUGGUGAGGCCUCCGUACUUUGGUCACCGACGAGGUUGCUCUACUUCCUCUGUUUCUUCAGCACACACGCAACGCCUCAUCUGCAGCUCGCGUGCAUGCACCAGGGCCUGCCCAGCUUGUUGUUCGUCGUUGCUCUCUGCCCCGAGUCGAGCUCCUGCUCGUGCUCGAGCACAUGCACGCACAUGACUCCGGCAAGAAGCAGCCGCUCGCUCACAUGCUCCCUGAAAGUUUCCGCACCCACACAUGCACGCGAGUGCCCCGGCGUUGCUCCGUGGUUCAUGUAGCAGGCUAGCAGCACCCUCCACCUAUUUCUGCACCUCACCGCUUCUUUGUUGCUGCAGAGGCCGCUGCCUUUGGUCGCUGCAGUCGAUGCCGGUUGCCGCCAUGCAGCCAUGGCCAAGCUCGAUCUGCUCAAAGAUUGGUCAAAACACCUAGGGAGCUUUUUGUUUCACGAACGUAUAGCUAGCGCAUUGGUCAGCGGACUGAUAUCCAUCCAUGAGGUCGUGGGUUCGAAUCCCAGUCUCCCCCAAUUAAAAUUAUUUAUUUCAUAACUAAAUAACCGUAGGUCCGAAUUAAAUAAACUUUAUAUGUAAAUGGGGUAGAAAAAUGCAUAGGAUAACAUGGUGCAAUUUCUUUUGCUGUUUAAUAACUCUAAAAUAUGGUUUAGGCACAACAGUACCAAACUUGAAAUAUGCACAUGACGAUUUUCUGGACCUGUUAUAUGUUGUUUCCGGCCUCAUUUAUACUUUCUUGCAUGUGUUGUUCUUGUAUGCAUCAUCUCUUGCCAUGAGUAGUACCAUAUAGCCUUGUAAUGCAUCAUACUUGGUUGAGCAUCAUGCUAUGUUAUGUGUUGUGUGUUUACCAUGUUGUUUGCUUCUUUCCGGUUGUGCUUCUUCUCAUUAGUUCCUGUUUCGUUGCGAUCGUGAGGAUUCGUUCAUCUACGCUUGGUUCGUCUUCGUGGCUUCAUCUUCUUCAUGGACUCGUUCUUCUUGCUAGCGAGAUUUCAGGCAAGAUGACCAUUACCCUGGAUCUCACUACUAUCAUUGCUAUGUUAGUUGCUUCUUUCUAUCGCUAUGCUAUGCUACCUACCACUUGCUCUUCAAGCCUCCCAAAUUGCCAUGUCAGCCUCUAACCUUUUCAUCCUUCCUAGCAAACCAUUGCUUGGCUAUGUUACCGCUUUGCUCAGCCCCUCUUAUAGCGUUGUUAGUUGCAGGUGAAGUUGAAGAUUGCUCCAAGAUGGACAGGAUUAUGUUGGGAUAUCACAAUAUCUCUUAUUUAAUUAAUGCAUCUAUAUACUUGGUUAAGGGUGGAAGGCUCGGCCUUAUGCCUGGUGUUUUGUUCCACUCUUCCUGCCCUAGUUUCCGUCAUACCGGUGCUAUGUUCCUUCAUUUUGCCUUCCUUACGCGGUUGGGUGAUUUAUGGGACCCCCUUGCCAGUUUGCUUUGAAUAAAACUCCUCCAACAAGGCCCAACCUUGGUUUUGCCAUUUUCCUACCUAAGCCUUUUCCCUUGCGUUUCUGGAGCCCGAGGGUCAUCUUUAUUUAACCCCUUGGGCCAGUGCUCCUUCGAGUGUUGGUCCGAACCGAGCAGCCUGCGGGGCCACCUCGGGGAAACUUGAGGGCUGGUUUUACUCGCAGCUUGACUUAUCCGGUGUGCCCUGAGAACGAGGUACGUGCGACUCCUAUCGGGAUUUGUCGGCACGUCGGGCAGCUUUGCUGGUCUUGUUUUACCAUUGUCGAAAUGUCUUGUAAACCGGGGUUCCGAGACUGAUUGGGUCUUCCUGGGAGAAGGAAUAUUCUUUGUUGACUGUGAGAGCAUGUGAUGGGCUAAGUUGGGACACCCCUGCAGGGUAUAAACUUUCGAGAGCCGUGCCCGCGGUUACGUGGCAGAUGGGAAUUUGUUAAUAUCCGGUUGUAGAGAACUUGACACCAUAUUCGAAUUAAAACGCAUCAACCGCGUGUGUAGCCGUAAUGGUCUCUUUUUGGCGGAGUCCGGGAAGUGAACACGGUUUUGGGUUAUGGUUGACAUAAGUAGGAGUUCAGGAUCACUUCUUGAUCAUUGCUAGCUUCACGACCGUUCUGGUGCUUCUGUUCGCGCUCUUAUUUGCGAAUGUUAGCCACCAUACUUGCUUAGUCACUGCUGCAACCUCACCACUUAUCCUUUCCAUACCCAUUAAGCUUUGCUAGUCUUGAUACCCAUGGUAAUAGGAUUGUUGAGUCCUCGUGGCUCACAGAUUACUACAACAACAGUUGUAGGUACAGGUAAUGCGAUGAUCAUGACGCGAGAGCGAUGUUUGCUUGUUUUGGAGUUCUUCUUCUGCUUCUUCUUCGAUCAUGGGAUAGGUUCCAGGUCGGCAACUUGGGCUAGCAGGGUGGAUGUCAUUUGAGUUUCUGUUUGUGUUUCAUCUGUAGUCGGAUGGUGCUCUUAUGUAAGAUGAUGUUGUAUUCGUGUGGCAUUGUAUGCCUUUUGUAUGUAUCCCCAUCUAUUAUGUAAUAUUGAUGUAACGAUAUCCACGUUGCAAAAGCAUCUCCAAUAUGCGCUUCUAUCCUUAGUGGGACUUUCGAGUUCCUUUAGGAUAGGGUCGCAUAUUGGGCGUGACAAGUUGGUAUCAGAGCCUCGACCGACCGUAGUAGCCCCCCUUGUUUGAUCGUGUAGUCUGGCUGUUGUCGAGUCUACAAGAAAACUGUUUUCGGAGUCUAGUUAUAUCGGAGAGUAGGAAUUCUUUUUACUCCUCAUCCCCUUCGUCGCUCUCGUGAGGAAUCUUAACGUAGGUGUUUUGAGUUACUCCUCGUCCCCUUCAAAUUUUUUCUUUAGGUUCACGCAGUUGGUUUUUCUGAUCGUUGGUUCUCAGCUCUUUUCAUCCGGUGCAUUUCUCGUCAAGUUGACUCGAGCCUCUUCAUCGUUGCCAAGUUCAAUCCUCAGUUGUUUUCUUUUUCCCACCCGCCCACCCUUCUUCUUCUCAGAACCGGAGUCCGUGAUCGAGUAUCCAUCCUACUCGUGCGAAGUUUUUUGCAUUCUCCCCUCAAUCAUUUCAACCGGCGCUUCUCUAUUCAAUUAUUCGUCGUUCCAGUUGCAUGUGUUUUUCCCGCCCUCCCAUCCCUUUUCUUCCCAGAGUCUGAGCCUCUAUUUGAGAAGCUAUUUCAUUUGUGCGGAGCCUCUUCAGUCUUUCGUCAAUUGUUUCAACCGGUGAAUUCUCGUUCUGUUCAACAGUCCUCAUCUCCUUUUCUUGUCCGGUGGACUCAAUUCAAGUUUUUUGGUUGAUCACAUUCUUUUCCUUGGAUCAAGUGUUUUCCCUACUCAUUCGCCUCUCGCUAGUUUAUCCAUUCGGAGUGCUCAAGACAUCUCAGGAGAUUCGUUUGUGUUUGAAUUAAUUCGAGGUUGUCACCUCAUUUAAAUAUUUCAAUUGUUCCGGUGCAUCAUCUAUCUCUCCAACAAUCCCUUUCCAAUGGUGUUAUCUCUUCAGUGGGCCCUAACCCAUAGGUUUUUUUUCAGGAUCUUACCUGACUCUUCUAAUUUCCCGGAGCUAUUCUCAAAUCCUUUUCGAAGUUUGAUGUAAGUAUGAAUUUCAUCAGUCAGAUUUUUUCCAAGAUCAAUUUCAUAUAAUUUUCAUUGUUGCCUCAACCUCUUCGCUUUUCGUUCCCCCCGGAGUGCCUUAACAAUUUUGGUGGUGUUUCUCGUCGUCAUUUGAAGAUCAAAGAAGAGUUCCGCUUAAAUUUUGCCCGUUCUCUCGAAGAUUCGUGGUUCUAGCGUAAUAUUAUCCUCUCGAAUUAUUCCAUUUGUCAGAUAUUCUUUUCUUACCCAUUCGGAGUAUGUCAGGAGUUGUUUUUCCAUUUCUUUUCACCGGAGGCCAUCGUCCUAGAAGAAUUCUUCGUCCUCACAUUUCAGCUGUUGUUAUCCAAUUAUCCUGGUGCAUUGUUCAAGUGUUCUUUAAUCAACUCAUGAUCUCUUUGUUCUUUUGCAUCUAAAUCCCAUCAAGCAUAUUUGUUCUUCUAAUUCUUCCCGGUGAUUCAUUCUCUUUCAUCAGUCAUUUUCGAAUUCUUACGGCGGUUCGUUCAAGAUUCUUUUUCUUUGAUUAUCAUAUUAAUUCAUUCAUUCUUUCGAAUCCUACCGGUGGUUCAUGAAGACCUUCCUCAAGGUUGCGCCAUAUACCCCUCAAUCCUUUUCCAACAAGAAUAAGUAGUAUGCAAAAUCCAUUGCUUGUCAUCAAUUUAAUUUGAUGAAGGAUAAUCAUACAAUAAAUCUUAUUCUUAUUUCCUCGAAGUGAUUAAUCCCUUCUUUCGGAGUUUGUGCUUGACGAAUAAAUUCUAGUUCCAAGUGUUUUCAUCUCUCGCAAGGCUUUAUCUUGUUCUUUUCAACCUUCGUUUCUUGAAUCCUUUUGCUACCGGAGUUUUUCAUGAUGGUUCUUCAUGAUUUAAUUCAUUCUUCAAGAUUCUUGUUGGUGGAGUUCAAGUAUCAUUUCUUCUCGCGUCUCGAAGUGCAAAUAAUUCUCCAUAUUCUUUUGAAGUGGAGUUUUGCAUUUCUUCGUUCUUCUCGGAUAUUCAAUCAUUUGAUUGUGGUAUAAUUUCACCUCAAGUUUUGAGAUGUUUACAUAAGCCCGCGCAAGUCAAAUCUUUUGUUGUUGAUUCUUCAACUAUUUUGUUCAAGCCUUUCUCUCGAAGUCUCUUUCAAAUUCUGUUGUGGUAGAAGUUGCCAUCUUCUUCUCCGUUCUUUUCAUUCAAUUCUUUCAAAAAAAAUCCGGAGGCAUUUUGUUGUCCUCUCGUCAAGUAUCGUUCCAUCUUGUCAAGCUUAUGCUUUAUUCCAUUCCAUGUUCAACCGGAGUGCUGUCCAAAUUGUUUCAUUCUUUUCCCUUGGCUAUCUCAUUAUAUCAGUGUUGUUUCAUAUUCUUUUUGUUCAUUAAACUCUUGUUUCAUGCCUUACAACCUACAAGGUUCUCAUAAUGUUGCUUGUUCCUCUUCGGUAAAGGAGUUUCUCAAUCUCGUUCAUAUCCGUUGUGUUCUUUCUUUCAAGUUUUCAACUUCUCAAGAUUCUUUUGUUUCACUCUUUUCUGCAAGAAGAACCUUGUUCUCCCAAUUUUUCCCUUCCAUCUCGAUCCUAAGAUCUCGGGACGAGAUCUUCUGUUAGUGGAGGAGAGUUGUAACGCCCCGAGACUGAUGCUCCAGACGCCUUCCAUUUAGUUUCGUUGAUGUUGUGUGUUUCUUAUGUUUGUUGCAUUAUCAUAAUUGUUUUCCAUAUUUCAUUCCUAUAUGUUUAUGUCAUGAUCAUGUUGAGUGCCUUGUCAUAUAUUUUGCUUCUUGCAUCAUGUUCAUUAUUGAUUAUAGGAUGCCAUCCUUGUUGUUGCCAUGAUAAUUCUUGCUUUGCUAUGCUAGAUGAUUUGAUAUGCCUUGUGUCAUUUUAUUCCAUUCUAUCAUGAUCAUCAUGUGGGUUGCAUUCUUCAUGUUGAUGUGUUGUUGGUGUGCUGUCCAUCUUGAUCUUUUCCAUCAACAUUUUCCCCAAGUGCACAACCUAUCCUCUUCUUCAUCUAUUUCAAAGUUUGGCUUUCAUGUCAAGUGACAUUAUUUCCUGCCUCCAAUAAUGUUAAUUCUUUCCCUAAAAAUCCUGCACAUUGCCUACAUCCUCUCUGCAAAUUUUCAGCUCUUUUGAAAAUGUUUUGGCUGGGUUAAAAAAUGGCUCAAGUUUGAAUUUAGUUCAAACAUGAAUUAUUUUUCUAUCCUUAAAAAUGACCAAACCAUUUUAUUCAAAUCCUUAAUAAAUCUAGGGCCUCAGAUUUAUCCUUAUAUAUAUGAUUCUACUUCUACACCAAACCCUCUGAGAAUUUCUUCCAAGGUUCUAUUCAUUUUAUAAAUGGAUAAGUAGAACAAUAGAGGGGGAUAGAGAGUUCCAGCCAUCCCCUUCUUUUGGCCCAGCCCACGUAGAAAUGUAUCGAAGCGUUACAUUUCCUUCUUCCUCCUCACGGUAAAACUCCAGGGGCGUCGGUCACAUGGCCACCGAGGAUGCCCGAGCUCCACGUCAACGCCCAGCCCCUAUAAAUCCCCCUUGGCGUCCGAGCCCCUCCUUAGGGUUUCUCUCUUCCAUCCGCGCCACGGCCAGGUGAGUCUAGCCUCCAGAUCCAUCGCCCCCAAGCCCUCCCGAGCAAGUCAGAGAGCAAUUCUCGUCGCCGGCGUGCCCUCCGGCGAGCCCAGGCGAGUCCAUAGAGUCCAGGGGCUUCGUCUUCCUCGUCUACGUCGACUACCUCCCUCGAAUCAAGCCAGAGCCAUCGUCAAGCGUCGUCCCCUUCGUCUUCUUCCUACACGGCAGCUACUCGUCGCCGUUCGAAUUCGUCGCAUCUCC
This 6997-nucleotide long non-coding RNA is filed under the name Triticum aestivum (bread wheat). RNAcentral's name for it is "long non-coding RNA (TAES_LNC011994)". Lineage: Eukaryota; Viridiplantae; Streptophyta; Magnoliopsida; Poales; Poaceae. The record is from RNAcentral.